UUCGCCGGGGAUAAUCUGCCUUUGAGUGGGGGAUAACUAGUCGAAAGAUUAGCUAAUACCGCAUAAGACCACAAGAACUGCGGUUCAAGGGGUCAAAGGUUUUUCGCUCUAAGAUGAGUCCGCGUAAGAUUAGCUAGUUGGUGAGGUAAUGGCUCACCAAGGCGACGAUCUUUAACUGGUCUGAGAGGAUGAUCAGUCACACUGGAACUGAGACACGGUCCAGACUCCUACGGGAGGCAGCAGUAGGGAAUAUUGCACAAUGGAGGAAACUCUGAUGCAGCGACGCCGCGUGAGUGAUGAAGGCCUUCGGGUCGUAAAGCUCUGUCGCAGGGGAAUAACACAAUGAAUGUACCCUGUAAGAAAGGAUCGGCUAACUUCGUGCCAGCAGCCGCGGUAAGACGAGGGAUCCUAGCGUUGUUCGGAAUUAUUGGGCGUAAAGCGGAUGUAGGUGGCUUUGUAAGUCAGAUGUGAAAGCCCAGGGCUCAACCCUGGAAGUGCAUUUGAUACUGCGAAGCUUGAGUGUCGGAGAGGUUACUAGAAUUGUUGGUGUAGUGGUGAAAUACGUAGAUAUCAACAGGAAUACCGGAGGCGAAGGCGGGUAACUGGCCGAACACUGACACUGAGAUCCGAAAGCGUGGGGAUCAAACAGGAUUAGAUACCCUGGUAGUCCACGCCGUAAACGAUGGAUACUUGUUGUUAGAG
This 702-nucleotide ribosomal RNA is filed under the name Bdellovibrio bacteriovorus. Its description in RNAcentral is "bacterial SSU rRNA". It matches the Rfam family "Bacterial small subunit ribosomal RNA", at positions 111 to 828 of the family's 1533-position model. The record is from RNAcentral. Lineage: Bacteria; Pseudomonadati; Bdellovibrionota; Bdellovibrionia; Bdellovibrionales; Pseudobdellovibrionaceae.